GGCGAACGCUGGCGGCGUGCCUAAUACAUGCAAGUCGAACGAAGCUGUUUUAACUGGUGCUUGCACCGACUUAAACAACUGAGUGGCGAACGGGUGAGUAACACGUGGGUAACCUGCCCCAAAGCGGGGGAUAACAUUUGGAAACAGAUGCUAAUACCGCAUAAUCACAGAAACCACAUGGUUUCUGUGUCAAAGAUGGUUUCGGCUAUCACUUUGGGAUGGACCCGCGGCGUAUUAGCUAGUUGGUAAGGUAAUGGCUUACCAAGGCAAUGAUACGAAGCCGAACUGAGAGGUUGAUCGGCCACAUUGGGACUGAGACACGGCUCAAACUCCUACGGGAGGCAGCAGUAGGGAAUCUUCCACAAUGAACGAAAGUCUGAUGGAGCAACGCCGCGUGGGUGAAGAAGGUUUUCGGAUCGUAAAACUCUGUUGUCAGAGAAGAACGUGUGCGAGAGUAACUGUUCGUGCAGUGACGGUAUCUGGCCAGAAAGCCACGGCUAACUACGUGCCAGCAGCCGCCGUAA
Molecule: ribosomal RNA, 524 nt
Filed under: uncultured bacterium
Lineage: Bacteria
Description: partial 16S ribosomal RNA
Rfam family: Bacterial small subunit ribosomal RNA
Source: RNAcentral